RNAcentral lists this non-coding RNA (30 nucleotides) under Mus musculus (house mouse). Lineage: Eukaryota; Metazoa; Chordata; Mammalia; Rodentia; Muridae. The record is from RNAcentral.
ACCUCCACACUAAGAGUUGACAGAAGAGGU